This 44-nucleotide transfer RNA is filed under the name Pectobacterium versatile. RNAcentral describes it as "tRNA-OTHER". The record is from RNAcentral. Lineage: Bacteria; Pseudomonadati; Pseudomonadota; Gammaproteobacteria; Enterobacterales; Pectobacteriaceae.
UCAUAACCCGAAGGUCGUCGGUUCGAAUCCGGCCCCCGCAACCA